Molecule: ribosomal RNA, 253 nt
Filed under: uncultured bacterium
Lineage: Bacteria
Description: partial 16S ribosomal RNA
Rfam family: Bacterial small subunit ribosomal RNA
Source: RNAcentral
UACGUAGGGGGCAAGCGUUGUCCGGAAUCAUUGGGCGUAAAGCGCGUGUAGGCGGCCAGAAAAGUCCGCUGUGAAAACUCGAGGCUCAACUUCGAGCUGUCGGUGGAAACUUUCUGGCUAGAGUCCGGAAGAGGAGAAUGGAAUUCCUGGCGUAGCGGUGAAAUGCGCAGAUAUCAGGAAGAACACCCGUGGCGAAGGCGGUUCUCUGGGACGGUACUGACGCUGAGACGCGAAAGCGUGGGGAGCGAACAGG